GAUGAACGCUGGCGGCGUGCCUAAUACGUGCAAGUCGAGCGAACGGACGAGAAGCUUGCUUUUCUGAUGUUAGCGGCGGACGGGUGAGUAACACGUGGAUAACCUACCUAUAAGACUGGGAUAACUUCGGGAAACCGGAUCUAAUACCGGAUAAUAUUUUGAACCGCAUGGUUCAAAAGUGAAAGACGGUCUUGCUGUCACUUAUAGAUGGAUCCGCGCUGCAUUAGCUAGUUGGUAAGGUAACGGCUUACCAAGGCAACGAUGCAUAGCCGACCUGAGAGGGUGAUCGGCCACACUGGAACUGAGACACGGUCCAGACUCCUACGGGAGGCAGCAGUAGGGAAUCUUCCGCAAUGGGCGAAAGCCUGACGGAGCAACGCCGCGUGAGUGAUGAAGGUCUUCGGAUCGUAAAACUCUGUUAUUAGGGAAGAACAAAUGUGUAAGUAACUGUGCACAUCUUGACGGUACCUAAUCAGAAAGCCACGGCUAACUACGUG
Molecule: ribosomal RNA, 497 nt
Filed under: uncultured bacterium
Lineage: Bacteria
Description: partial 16S ribosomal RNA
Rfam family: Bacterial small subunit ribosomal RNA
Source: RNAcentral